Molecule: long non-coding RNA, 481 nt
Organism: Epinephelus moara (kelp grouper)
Lineage: Eukaryota; Metazoa; Chordata; Actinopteri; Perciformes; Serranidae
Exons: 3
Source: RefSeq, a predicted model, not a curated record
GCACUUAGCUACAUGGACAAAAUAGACCCUUCCCUCUAUGAGCUCAGCCAGGGAGUUAGAUCAGGCCACGUCAAGGUGCUGGAAACUGUAGUGAACGGCAUUGAAAAGAUGGGAGAUGCAUUUUGCUCUAUGAUGAAAGGCGGCAACGUCGGCAAGCAAGUUGUAAAGAUAUCAGAGUGAAGAGAAUCACUGGAGCUGCUCUCACCAGACAGAGGCCUCGGGGAAUUAACCUACAGCUGCCUGCCUGUAUACGAGCUCCGUCACUGUUAUGUACACUAACUUAUUGAACUCUGGGGAAAAUAUUGCAUCAGUUAGCUGAUGCCUGUUGAUGAACCACAAGUGGAAAGUCACAUGAUGUUCUGUGAAACUGUGUCCUUUAGAAGAAUAAAAUGAAAUGUAAAAUGUGUUUGAAAGUCCAAUACGUCUUGAAUUUUAAUUCUUUUUGAUAUUUCUGGAAAUUGGUGCAGCAGUUUAAUAAACA